Molecule: ribosomal RNA, 433 nt
Filed under: uncultured bacterium
Lineage: Bacteria
Description: partial 16S ribosomal RNA
Rfam family: Bacterial small subunit ribosomal RNA
Source: RNAcentral
AACGAACGCUGGCGGCAUGCCUAACACAUGCAAGUCGAACGAAGCCUUCGGGCUUAGUGGCGCACGGGUGCGUAACGCGUGGGAAUCUGCCCCUUGCUGCGGAAUAACAGUUAGAAAUGACUGCUAAUACCGGAUGAAGUCUUCGGACCAAAGAUUUAUCGGCAAGGGAUGAGCCCGCGUAGGAUUAGGUAGUUGGUGGGGUAAAGGCCUACCAAGCCGACGAUCCUUAGCUGGUCUGAGAGGAUGAUCAGCCACACUGGGACUGAGACACGGCCCAGACUCCUACGGGAGGCAGCAGUGGGGAAUAUUGGACAAUGGACGCAAGUCUGAUCCAGCAAUGCCGCGUGAGUGAUGAAGGCCUUAUGGUUGUAAAGCUCUUUUACCAGGGAUGAUAAUGACAGUACCUUGAGAAUAAGCUCCGGCUAACUCCGUG